This 5781-nucleotide unclassified non-coding RNA is filed under the name Rhipicephalus microplus (southern cattle tick). RNAcentral describes it as "probable RNA-binding protein 46, transcript variant X1". The record is from RNAcentral. Lineage: Eukaryota; Metazoa; Arthropoda; Arachnida; Ixodida; Ixodidae.
GCUUGCUGCAGCAGGUUCAGCGAUUCGCUUUUGGCGCCAUGGAGGCGGCGGGCAACUUCGUGGGAGACUUUCCCCAGUGGCAGGGCGCCUUCGAGCGCGGCUACGACAACCGACGGUCCCGCCGAAGAAGACCGCGACCGCCGCCUCGCCUUCAACGGCAGCAGGACUACUACUAUCACCACGAAGACGUCGGCUACUACCCCGAGCCCUGGACCAUGCCGGAGUCCGGGAUUGGCGAUUUCGCGACCGAAGUCUGCGCUGGCAACGGCCGGGCUCCCAGAACCGGACACGGGAGAGCGGGCGGUUCGCGCGGUUCGUCCUCCAGCUCUUCCUCGUCUUGCGCCACCGACGUCGUCGCGUCCAUUCCGACGACAGCCCGGGAGAGACGCAUUCUGGCGCUCUUGAACCGCACGGGUUACCCCAUGGUCCAGGACAACGGACAGCGGCGCUACGGGCCGCCGCUCACCUGGCAGGGCGAGCCGCCUCCCAAGGGCUGCGAGGUGUUCGUCGGCAAGCUGCCCCGGGACCUGUUCGAAGACGAGCUGGUGCCGUUCCUGGAGCAGGCCGGCCGGCUCUACGAGGUGCGGCUCAUGAUGGACUUUGCCGGCUCGAACCGGGGCUUUGCCUUCGCCACGUACGGGACGCGGAGCGAGGCGCAGCGCGCCGUGCGCUGCCUGGACGAGCGCGAGAUCCGGCGCGGCCGACGGGUGGGCGUGUGCGAGUCGCUGGACAACUGCCGCCUGUUCGUGGGCGGCAUACCGCGCGACAAGAACCGCGACGACGUCCUGGAGGAGAUGCGGCGCGUCACCGAGGGCGUGGUGGACGUCAUCCUCUACCCCAACGUGGCGGACAAGACGCGCAACAGGGGCUUCGCCUUCGUCGAGUACGCGGACCACAAGGCGGCCGCCGUGGCGCGCCGGCGCAUGAUCCCGGGCAAGAUGACCCUCUGGGGAGGCUACGAGGUGGCCGUCGACUGGGCCGAGCCCGAACCCAUUGUGGACGACGAGACCAUGAAUGCGGUCACAGUACUGUAUGUUCGCAACCUGAUGCUGAGCACAUCGGAGGACGUGAUUCGUGAAGCCUUCACCCUCGAGGGCCAGCUCACCGUGGCCAAGAUCAAAAAGAUUCGGGACUUUGCUUUCGUCCAUUACUUGAACAGAGAAGAUGCAAAGCUAGCCCUGGAAAGUAUGAGAGGUGCCGACAUUGAAGGGUCUCCCAUUGAGGUUGCAUGGGCAAAACCAGUGAAUCGAGGGAAACAUCUCGACCGCAAGCCCAAUUAUGGAAAGAAAAACAAAGAGUUCGUUCACGGCAGCCACAGCAACUUCCGUGGAGAUCCUGUGGUGAUGCCAUCGCCUGUGGGAGGUGUUGGCUUCGGGAUCUACAGCAUGGCAUCCCAUCCUGUCCCGCUACCAAUUGGAUCUGGCAGACCUGGCCGUGCGGAGGGCCUCAUGCAAGACCACAAUGGCGUGGCUCCCUUGCCCCAUCAAAACACUGCAAGAGAAUUGCGCUGUCAACAAAUAAUACAGGUUCUGAAUGACGUGUGUGAAAGGCAAGGAUGGGGUGUGCCUCAGUUCCAGCUCUUCACAGUGGCGAGCUCCGAAUGCAGCCCUGAGAGGAACGGUGAACCGCAGAUGCCGCUUUGCUUUUUCAAGGUGACAGUGCCAAACAUCUCUCCACCAAUGUACAAUACCAUCACACCAAACAAAUUCUCUCGCACUGUUGAAGAAGCUCGAGAGUACGCUGCUGAGUACACCCUCCACCAUCUGCUUCAGAGACUUGACAUGGCCACCCCUGCCCAGCACCCGCACCCCACGAGCCCGGUUUUCGUAGCUACCCAGACACUUCCGACCAUCGGCAUCGGCCAAGGCUACCCUCAGUACGCCGCUGUGCUACCCGGAGCAGGUUUCUUCGUGAACACGACAGCGCGGCCAGUCUACAUUUCGGCCUAUCACAGCACAACCUACUGACGUGCCUUGCGUCUUUGCAACUGCCUUCAUCUAGAGUAUCUCAGUGUUGUUCUUGUUUCUCUCCUCAUUCCGUCUUGACCACCAAAGAGGCAAGGCCAGUCUGCUGCAUCUGUGGCUUUGCCAUUGAACCUCGUGAACACUAUGUGCCAGUUGCUGAUUAAUGAACACAGGUCAGCACAGUUAGCCAAGGGAACAUCCUGCUUCUGACGUUCAUUGAGCACUUGAUGCUAUAACCUAUGUGGUAAUAGCAGGUAAAUUGAUUGAUGUUUUCAAGGUGCCCUUCUAAUGAACAAGUUUAAAGGCAUGUCGUCUCAUCAAUAUUGAACUUGACCAUUCCACGUAACAUGCUCAUCUCGUAACGGUUUUUAUGACCAACGUCGGGUUAGAGAAAUACGUACUAAAAGCGUAUGGUGAAAUAUUUUGGCCAUACAAUCCCAAGUUUUCUUUAAACUGCAUCUGUAGCCUUGUGGAAAAAAAAAAGUUUAACUGGAGCGGCAGCACACCUUUAACACCAUUUCACUGCUCCUUUCAAAACGCAGGUCUGCUUUGUGUGAAUGUGCUUUGCCCAUUUGUUGGCUUCAUUUUGAGGCUAUAACGUGCGACCUGUAGUUGCUAAGUGAAGUUUCACAGUCAUUGGCGCUCACAACAUGGGCUAUUCGACAUCUGCUGCCGCGACUGACGUAUCAUCAUUGCUUAAUCUGUGCUGACCUGUGUUUAGUAAUUGCUUGUCUACAUCUAUCUUUUUACAUUUUUAUCUUAUAUCUCUUUACGCUUUUAAAUGUUCGAUUUGUUUGUGAAUUUCAUGCUUUUAUCAUUAUAUCUUUUUAUGCUUUUAAAUGUUCGAUUUGUUUGUGCAUUCCAUGCUUUUAUCAUUAUAUCUUUUUAUGCUUAUAAAUGUUCGAUUUGUUUGUGCAUUCCAUGCUUUUAUCAUUGUAGCACAGCCAAACAGCUGUGCCUACAUAUUUUUUUGAAAAGAACCUCUUGUAUCUCAUUGUGUGCCUUUGCUACUUAUCUGCAAGGGAGGUCUUGGCAAUUCUUUUAGCUGUUGACGUUGGACAUUUACAGUCCUAAAGCCAUUUUAGCUUUGCUUGGAUUUUAGGUUUUUACUCUCUACAUUGAAAGAUGAAUUGCACCUUAUUAGCAUUGAUUAGUGUGAUACUGCCCAUAAUUGCCCUCUGUUUACAGGCAUGUGCGUAUUGCUUGCCUGGAAGCUCAAGUAGGUGGGACAGUUUUGAACACUUGAUAUAUGGCACCUGCAUCAAAACCUUCUGCUGUGUGGGGCACAGGACAUUUAAUAUCUGCUCAUAAAAAAAUAUGAUUUAAAAGAAGUUUUGUUUUGUAGCAGAAUGAUAUGAUGCUGAUCAAUUUGAAAAAAAAAAGUAAUUUGACAGACUACACAUUCAGUGUGAAAGAAUUUCGUAAUGCAAAUGUACUUUUAGAAUACUUUUAUCUCUGGUGCUUUAAAUUAUGCAUGUUGUUUCCCAGCAAUGUGUUCGAAAAGACGGGGGCUCCUUCAAGACAAUUGCCUCACAGAAAUGACCAGACUGUUCAUUAGAAACGAUUUCUAGAAUAAUUAUUUUACCGAAAUCACCGUAGUUUUAUCUCUACAAUGAAUGGAUACCUGUGUUGUGUGAAAAACAUAACAAUGGUGCAGUCGUCUUUCAUCGCUCAUCCCGACAAAGGAGGGAGAGGAAAGAUAUGGCAGUGUACAGGGCCGACUUCAAUUAGUCGGUAUUAAGAGCUCGUACCAACCGAUGUGCAAUGUAAAAUUCAGAAAGCAACUUCUUUCAUCGGUUGUCGUCACCAUUAAGCACUCUUAAAGGCAGAUUUCUGGGAAAUGAAGCAAAAGAGCUGGCUUGACUAUUAACGAGCUGCUUUCUCCAAUUACAGUCGGUCUUGUACAAAUCACACCUGAAAGAUGGUGCAAUUGUGAAUGGUGCCACUUUUUCCCCUCCUCUAAAGGUUUCUUUCACACACCUCAUAACUGGGGAUAUCGUUCCAGUUUGUUUUUAUUUGAACCAUGAUUUUAUCUCUACCUUUUUAUACAACUUGCAAGGCCUUCCUUGAGCACUGUCACAUUCUCAUACAAAUACUGACUAGUGCAUAGUAUUGCGAAGGGCACAGUAUUAUGAAGUGCGCAUGCAGACUUGUUUCCUGUUUGGGACAAGGUCAGCUAGCACUUCAUAUUUAUUAUUUUCUCAUGUGGGCUGCUGGCAUACGACUAGCUUUUAAAAUUUCAUAAGCUAUUGCGUGUGACAAGGCCCGCUCAUUCUAUUUGUGCGUGAAACGUCACUUGUCGUUGCAAUAAUCACUUGUCAUCGCAACAUUGCUGUUUCCUUUGUUUGCUAGUGUUGCUGUUUUGUUAUUAUUAUUAUAGAUUUAUGUGUAGUGUUUAUUAUGCCCCUUUGCUAAGCUUACUUUAUUGUGUUCAUCUAUUUUCUUGUGCUUCCCGGUUUCUGCUUUGCCAUGGAAAUUGCCAACUUCGGGUUUGCUUGGGUGAGUUCAUCUAGUCAUGUGGUCUGUUCUAUCAUUGCCUAGUGCUGGAGCUACCGUGCCUUCUUUUGUAUUUCCAUCGUAAUGUUGGUUACUUUAACUUCUUUUCUCUUUAUUGACUUGCACCUGAUGCUGCUCGAACUCUUAUACACUAGCACAUCCCAUUGUCCCACUUUGAUUUCUGGUUUUAGCUAGGACUCCUCUUAUGGACCAAAAAAAUGUUAUUUUUUAUAUUUGUGACUGCGAAUUUCACCGAGUGUCACGCUUCCAUCCAGUUAAUUGUUAAAUAAUGCUCCGUGCACCAAACUUGAGCCUUCAUGGAAAGUUAGUUUGACUUUCAUGUUGAUGCUGACUAGCUUGGUACAAAUGUGAGCAAAUGUGUGAACUGACAGAAGCACCUUAUUCUGUUAUUCAGAAUGGGAAUGAGAGCUCGUAUUUCUACGUAACCUAUCCUGGUAACGCCAUUGGAAAGUUCCCUCUUCGCAUUGUUAAAGUGUUACUGGUGUGUGAUAUUGGCCUCUGGUGAAACUGAAAUUCAUUCUAAAGGGAGCUUGUAGAUGUUUCUCAAAUGCCAUUCUUAGCUUCAGCAGUGCCUUCAGCCAACAUUCUAUUCAGAUCUCUUGUCACUGCAAUCUUCUUGCAAUGAUUAGGAUAUCAAUCAGCGGUACUCCUUGGGCAGAUCACCUUACUCGUUUAGGCAAUCUUUCUUGGAAACUUCGAAAACAGUAGUGGUCAUUUGUCCCCUCGAAUUAUUGCGCUCUUUUGUCAUUUCUGUGCAUCCUGCCUUAAAACAUAAUCACUUAAUGUCAUAAAUAUUUCGAGGCACCACAUGUGCCCUCUAAAUCCCUUUUCAUGCUCCUGUGAUAAAGAUUCCGAGUCAGUUGAAAAACUGUAAUUUGGCCAGAUUAUUUUGUGGGAACUGCCACACGCUACGGAUGGGAAGUGAAUAUUUUGCUAGUGGAAUUUUCAGAAUGCCAUCAUUCAACUUCACUACAGCUUGUAUGAGAUCCACAGGUCGCAAGAGAUAUAUAAAAAAUGAAAAAUUUGUUCCUAUAUAUGUGAAUGUUCAUGCCAAUUGGCCAUUGAUGCUUAUGCUUCAAAGUCUCAAGAGCAUUCACACCUCCAGCGUAAGAUAAGGUGUUGUGUGAGUGCAUUGGUCAUGCAGUUAUUUAAUUUUCUCGUUCCUUGAGUGCAGUUUGUUGCUACGUUUUCGUUUAAAAUUUGUGUGCCAGUGUGUUAUUUAUGGCUUUUUCUUGUCGCCCUCACAAGUUCUGAGUGUGCGCUUUUUGAAAAUCUAAAUAAAGUUGAGUUGAAAAUCACA